GUGCUGCUUCAGCAGCACAGAUACUAAAAUUGGAGCCCAACAGAGAAGAUUAGCAUGGCCCCUGCACAAGGAGACACGCAAACUGGUGAAGCCUUCCGUAGUUUU
Small nuclear RNA from Loxodonta africana (African savanna elephant), 105 nucleotides. NCBI's taxonomy places the organism in Eukaryota, Metazoa, Chordata, Mammalia, Proboscidea, Elephantidae. The record is from Ensembl.